Gorilla gorilla gorilla (western lowland gorilla) is the source of this 115-nucleotide small nuclear RNA. The record is from Ensembl. NCBI's taxonomy places the organism in Eukaryota, Metazoa, Chordata, Mammalia, Primates, Hominidae.
GUGCUUGCCUUGGCAGCACAUAUACUAAAACUGGAACAAUAGAGGAGACGAGCGUGGCCUCCGUGCAAGGAUGACACACAACGUGAUGUUCCAAUGUGAAGCGUUCCAUAUUUUU